RNAcentral lists this ribosomal RNA (1379 nucleotides) under Escherichia coli. RNAcentral's name for it is "partial 23S ribosomal RNA". It matches the Rfam family "Bacterial large subunit ribosomal RNA", at positions 381 to 1765 of the family's 2925-position model. Lineage: Bacteria; Pseudomonadati; Pseudomonadota; Gammaproteobacteria; Enterobacterales; Enterobacteriaceae. The record is from RNAcentral.
AAAAAUGCACAUAUUGUGAGCUCGAUGAGUAGGGCGGGACACGUGGUAUCCUGUCUGAAUAUGGGGGGACCAUCCUCCAAGGCUAAAUACUCCUGACUGACCGAUAGUGAACCAGUACCGUGAGGGAAAGGCGAAAAGAACCCCGGCGAGGGGAGUGAAAAAGAACCUGAAACCGUGUACGUACAAGCAGUGGGAGCACGCUUAGGCGUGUGACUGCGUACCUUUUGUAUAAUGGGUCAGCGACUUAUAUUCUGUAGCAAGGUUAACCGAAUAGGGGAGCCGAAGGGAAACCGAGUCUUAACUGGGCGUUAAGUUGCAGGGUAUAGACCCGAAACCCGGUGAUCUAGCCAUGGGCAGGUUGAAGGUUGGGUAACACUAACUGGAGGACCGAACCGACUAAUGUUGAAAAAUUAGCGGAUGACUUGUGGCUGGGGGUGAAAGGCCAAUCAAACCGGGAGAUAGCUGGUUCUCCCCGAAAGCUAUUUAGGUAGCGCCUCGUGAAUUCAUCUCCGGGGGUAGAGCACUGUUUCGGCAAGGGGGUCAUCCCGACUUACCAACCCGAUGCAAACUGCGAAUACCGGAGAAUGUUAUCACGGGAGACACACGGCGGGUGCUAACGUCCGUCGUGAAGAGGGAAACAACCCAGACCGCCAGCUAAGGUCCCAAAGUCAUGGUUAAGUGGGAAACGAUGUGGGAAGGCCCAGACAGCCAGGAUGUUGGCUUAGAAGCAGCCAUCAUUUAAAGAAAGCGUAAUAGCUCACUGGUCGAGUCGGCCUGCGCGGAAGAUGUAACGGGGCUAAACCAUGCACCGAAGCUGCGGCAGCGACGCUUAUGCGUUGUUGGGUAGGGGAGCGUUCUGUAAGCCUGCGAAGGUGUGCUGUGAGGCAUGCUGGAGGUAUCAGAAGUGCGAAUGCUGACAUAAGUAACGAUAAAGCGGGUGAAAAGCCCGCUCGCCGGAAGACCAAGGGUUCCUGUCCAACGUUAAUCGGGGCAGGGUGAGUCGACCCCUAAGGCGAGGCCGAAAGGCGUAGUCGAUGGGAAACAGGUUAAUAUUCCUGUACUUGGUGUUACUGCGAAGGGGGGACGGAGAAGGCUAUGUUGGCCGGGCGACGGUUGUCCCGGUUUAAGCGUGUAGGCUGGUUUUCCAGGCAAAUCCGGAAAAUCAAGGCUGAGGCGUGAUGACGAGGCACUACGGUGCUGAAGCAACAAAUGCCCUGCUUCCAGGAAAAGCCUCUAAGCAUCAGGUAACAUCAAAUCGUACCCCAAACCGACACAGGUGGUCAGGUAGAGAAUACCAAGGCGCUUGAGAGAACUCGGGUGAAGGAACUAGGCAAAAUGGUGCCGUAACUUCGGGAGAAGGCACGCUGAUAUGUAGGUGA